RNAcentral lists this ribosomal RNA (379 nucleotides) under uncultured bacterium. RNAcentral describes it as "bacterial SSU rRNA". It matches the Rfam family "Bacterial small subunit ribosomal RNA", at positions 521 to 896 of the family's 1533-position model. The record is from RNAcentral.
UAACACGUAGGGUGCAAGCGUUGUCCGGAAUCAUUGGGCGUAAAGAGCUCGUAGGCGGCUUAGUAAGUCGGGUGUGAAACCUCCAGGCUCAACCUGGAGACGCCACCCGAUACUGCUAUAGCUAGAGUCCAGUAGGGGAGUGCGGAAUUCCCGGUGUAGCGGUGAAAUGCGCAGAUAUCGGGAGGAACACCAGCGGCGAAGGCGGCACUCUGGGCUGGUACUGACGCUCAGGAGCGAAAGCGUGGGUAGCGAACAGGAUUAGAUACCCUGGUAGUCCACGCCGUAAACGUUGGGCACUAGGUGUGGGGUCUAUUCAACGGACUCCGUGCCGUAGCUAACGCAUUAAGUGCCCCGCCUGGGGAGUACGGCCGCAAGGCUA